RNAcentral lists this ribosomal RNA (730 nucleotides) under uncultured euryarchaeote. RNAcentral describes it as "bacterial SSU rRNA". It matches the Rfam family "Archaeal small subunit ribosomal RNA", at positions 126 to 860 of the family's 1478-position model. Lineage: Archaea; Methanobacteriati; Methanobacteriota. The record is from RNAcentral.
AUAACCCCUGGGAAACUGGGGCUAAUACCGGAUAGAGCAUCGAUCGCUGGAAUGCAUGAUGCUCGAAAACUACGGUGCCCAAGGAUAGGUCUGCGGCUGAUUAGGUUGUUGUUGAUGUAAUGGACCAACAAGCCUACGAUCGGUACGGGUUGUGAGAGCAAUAGCCCGGAGAUGGGUUCUGAGAAAAGAACCCAGGUCCUACGGGACGCAUCAGGCGCGAAAACUUUACAAUGUGCGAAAGCACGAUAAGGGAACUCUGAGUGCCCCCUAAGGGGGCUGUUCUAGUGUCUAAAAAGCAACAGAAGUAAGGGCUGGGCAAGACCGGUGCCAGCCGCCGCGGUAACACCGGCAGCCCAAGUGGUAGCCACGUUUAUUGGGUCUAAAGCGUUCGUAGCCGGCUUGGUAAGUUCCUUGGUAAAUUUAGCCGCUUAACGGUUAAGCUUUCAGGGAAUACUGCUUGGCUUGGGACUGGGAGAGGUCAGAGGUACUCCAGGGGUAGGGGUGAAAUCCAUUAAUCCUUGGGGGACCACCGGUAGCGAAGGCGUCUGACCAGACCAGCUCCGACGGUGAGGGACGAAGGCUAGGGGCGCGAACCGGAUUAGAUACCCGGGUAGUCCUAGCUGUAAACGAUGCGGGCUAGGUGUUGGCAUUACUGCGAGUGGUGCCAGUGCCGAAGGGAAGCCGUUAAGCUCGCCAUCUGGGGAGUACGGUCGCAAGGCUUAAACUUAAA